GGGCCCAUAGCUCAGUUGGAUAGAGCGUCGGACUACGAAUCCGAAGGCCGCAGGUUCGAAUCCUGCUGGGCCCGCCA
Molecule: transfer RNA, 77 nt
Filed under: Deltaproteobacteria bacterium
Lineage: Bacteria; Pseudomonadati; Myxococcota; Myxococcia
Also listed under: 3 other names
Description: tRNA-Arg
Rfam family: tRNA
About the family: Transfer RNA (tRNA) molecules are approximately 80 nucleotides in length. Their secondary structure includes four short double-helical elements and three loops (D, anti-codon, and T loops). Further hydrogen bonds mediate the characteristic L-shaped molecular structure. tRNAs have two regions of fundamental functional importance: the anti-codon, which is responsible for specific mRNA codon recognition, and the 3' end, to which the tRNAs corresponding amino acid is attached (by aminoacyl-tRNA synthetases). tRNAs cope with the degeneracy of the genetic code in two manners: having more than one tRNA (with a specific anti-codon) for a particular amino acid; and 'wobble' base-pairing, i.e. permitting non-standard base-pairing at the 3rd anti-codon position.
Source: RNAcentral